RNAcentral lists this ribosomal RNA (399 nucleotides) under uncultured bacterium. RNAcentral's name for it is "bacterial SSU rRNA". It matches the Rfam family "Bacterial small subunit ribosomal RNA", at positions 356 to 772 of the family's 1533-position model. The record is from RNAcentral.
GGGGAAUAUUGGACAAUGGGGGCAACCCUGAUCCAGCAAUGCCGCGUGAGUGAUGAAGGCCUUCGGGUUGUAAAGCUCUUUUGCCAGGGACGAUGAUGACGGUACCUGGAGAAUAAGCCCCGGCUAACUCCGUGCCAGCAGCCGCGGUAAUACGGAGGGGGCUAGCGUUGUUCGGAAUUACUGGGCGUAAAGCGCACGUAGGCGGCUUUGUAAGUUAGAGGUGAAAGCCUGGAGCUCAACUCCAGAACUGCCUUUAAGACUGCAUCGCUUGAAUCCAGGAGAGGUGAGUGGAAUUCCGAGUGUAGAGGUGAAAUUCGUAGAUAUUCGGAAGAACACCAGUGGCGAAGGCGGCUCACUGGACUGGUAUUGACGCUGAGGUGCGAAAGCGUGGGGAGCAAA